This 500-nucleotide ribosomal RNA is filed under the name uncultured bacterium. Its description in RNAcentral is "partial 16S ribosomal RNA". It matches the Rfam family "Bacterial small subunit ribosomal RNA", at positions 29 to 523 of the family's 1533-position model. The record is from RNAcentral.
AUUGAACGCUGGCGGCAUGCCUUACACAUGCAAGUCGAACGGCAGCACGGGAGCGAUCCUGGUGGCGAGUGGCGAACGGGUGAGUAAAGUAUCGGAACGCGCCCAGUCGUGGGGGAUAACGUAGCGAAAGUUACGCUAAUACCGCAUACGAUCUAUGGAUGAAAGCGGGGGAUCGCAAGACCUCGCGCGAUUGGAGCGGCCGAUAUCAGAUUAGGUAGUUGGUGGGGUAAAGGCCCACCAAGCCGACGAUCUGUAGCUGGUCUGAGAGGACGACCAGCCACACUGGGACUGAGACACGGCCCAGACUCCUACGGGAGGCAGCAGUGGGGAAUUUUGGACAAUGGGCGAAAGCCUGAUCCAGCCAUGCCGCGUGCAGGAUGAAGGCCUUCGGGUUGUAAACUGCUUUUGUACGGAACGAAAAGGACUGCCCUAAUACGGUGGUCCCAUGACGGUACCGUAAGAAUAAGCACCGGCUAACUACGUGCCAGCAGCCGCCGUAA